This 253-nucleotide ribosomal RNA is filed under the name uncultured bacterium. RNAcentral describes it as "partial 16S ribosomal RNA". It matches the Rfam family "Bacterial small subunit ribosomal RNA", at positions 524 to 776 of the family's 1533-position model. The record is from RNAcentral.
AACGUAGGAGACAAACGUUAUCCGGAGUUACUGGGCGUAAAGAGCGUGUAGGCGGCCUGGUAGGUCAGCUGUGAAAACUCGAGGCUCAACCUCGAGACGCCGGUUGAAACCAUCAGGCUAGAGUCCGGAAGAGGAGAGUGGAAUUCCCGGUGUAGCGGUGAAAUGCGCAGAUAUCGGGAAGAACACCCGUGGCUAAGGCGGCUCUCUAGUACGGUACUGACGCUGAGACGCGAAAGCGUGGGGAGCGAACAGG